This 253-nucleotide ribosomal RNA is filed under the name uncultured bacterium. Its description in RNAcentral is "partial 16S ribosomal RNA". It matches the Rfam family "Bacterial small subunit ribosomal RNA", at positions 524 to 776 of the family's 1533-position model. The record is from RNAcentral.
UACGAAGGGGGCUAGCGUUGCUCGGAAUCACUGGGCGUAAAGGGUGCGUAGGCGGGUCUUUAAGUCAGGGGUGAAAUCCUGGAGCUCAACUCCAGAACUGCCUUUGAUACUGAGGAUCUUGAGUUCGGGAGAGGUGAGUGGAACUGCGAGUGUAGAGGUGAAAUUCGUAGAUAUUCGCAAGAACACCAGUGGCGAAGGCGGCUCACUGGCCCGAUACUGACGCUGAGGCACGAAAGCUGGGGGAGCAAACCGG